GAUGAACGCUAGCGGCAGGCCUAAUACAUGCAAGCCAAGGGCUGUUUGGUGUAGCAAUCCAUCAAACAACCGGCGGACGGGUGCGUAACGCGUAUGCAACCUACCCUAUACAGGAGGAUAGCCCUCGGAAACGAGGAUUAAUACUCCAUAAGAUUGCUUAGAGGCAUCUUUAAGCAAUUAAAGCCGCAAGGCGGUAUAGGAUGGGCGUGCGUCCGAUUAGCUAGUUGGUGAGGUAACGGCUCACCAAGGCGAUGAUCGGUAGGGGUUCUGAGAGGAAGAUCCCCGAAGCGGGGACGGAGACACGGGCCCGACACCUACGGGAGGCAGCAGUAAGGAAUAUUGGACAGUGGGUGAAAGCCUGAUCCAGCCAAGCCGCGUGCAGGAAGAAGGCCCUAUGGGUUGUAAACUGCUUUUGAGAGGGGGAAAUAAGGGCGAUGCGUCGCUCGAUGAGAGUACUUCUCGAAUAAGCAGCGGCUAACUUCGUG
RNAcentral lists this ribosomal RNA (485 nucleotides) under uncultured bacterium. RNAcentral describes it as "partial 16S ribosomal RNA". It matches the Rfam family "Bacterial small subunit ribosomal RNA", at positions 28 to 507 of the family's 1533-position model. The record is from RNAcentral.